CCUACUACCAGUUCUUCAUUUUCAUUUCGUGACUCGAUAGUGUAUACUAACUCGAUUGUACGAGUAAUAAGAUUCGACAAAAAUCUUCUAAUAAACUUACUAGAUACAGCAAAAAGGGAAAAGCCCAUUAUCUCCUCUGCUGUCUUCUUUCAUAAACCGUAAAAGUUUGAUUUCUAAACUUUUGAGCGGUGGUAUAUCUCGAGCGAAGCCUGCCCUAUGCCAUUAUGCCCUUGAAUCUCCAAUUUCGACGGCUAUGGGUUUCGUUUCUUAUUUACAGUGAUUCCACCAUUUGGGGAAGAUAGAAGCCAGGGGGAAGAAAAGAACGAAGAAAUUCUUCUUCUUCGUCUUACCGAUUCGGUUUUAAAAAGUUUCCUCCACGGGAGACGCUUUCACGCGAAAGAUUACAAUUUCCGUGGUAAUCGUCUAACAAUACAGAUGUUUUCACGUCUAAGCGGCGUGCU
Molecule: unclassified non-coding RNA, 461 nt
Filed under: Bombus terrestris (buff-tailed bumblebee)
Lineage: Eukaryota; Metazoa; Arthropoda; Insecta; Hymenoptera; Apidae
Description: misc RNA ENSBTSG00005026714.1
Source: RNAcentral